Molecule: long non-coding RNA, 623 nt
Organism: Dermacentor silvarum
Lineage: Eukaryota; Metazoa; Arthropoda; Arachnida; Ixodida; Ixodidae
Exons: 2
Source: RefSeq, a predicted model, not a curated record
UAUUACUUGUCGUGCAGUGCUAUGGUGCAUUUCAUAGUGUCUCAGUUUACUUAAUACACUUUCGAAUUUACAGAUUGCUUCACAUGUUUACAGCUAAAAACCACAGAGGAAACCUCAGGGAAACUACUUGCAUUAUGAUUGAGAGGUCACAACACGAGUAUUUGUGUGGUGUCCUUCCUGUUCACACAUUUUGACCAGCAAAUCUGCACCACCUUAAUUUAAGUGCGAUGGAAGGGAUGUUUGUGCAUAGCCAAGCUGUUCUCGCGUGCCUGGUGGCACCGUAUAGUUCCAAGCGUAAUAGUGAACAACUAGUAAAGAAAUCGACUGAUACUAAGCUGACCCAUAUGUAGGAGCAUUAUAUUACCUAAGCCACACGCAAAGUUGCUUUCAGUGUACUGAAAAGCCACAGCUUUGAUUUGUCAAGUUAUUUUACUGCACAAACACAGCGCUGCAAUAAAGUCUGUACAAUGGUGAGCAAUGCAGCAAGCAAUGAAAGAUUACUUGUGAUGUGCGGAUUUGAAUAGUACAUGUGAAUGCAUACCCAAUUCACCAGUAUUGUUUUCUUCUGGAACGAUUUUAUGUUUUGUACAGAGGCUGAGCCACUGUGGCCUCCUGACUACAAA